This 67-nucleotide transfer RNA is filed under the name Chamaemyia juncorum. RNAcentral describes it as "tRNA-Ser". Lineage: Eukaryota; Metazoa; Arthropoda; Insecta; Diptera; Chamaemyiidae. The record is from RNAcentral.
GAAGUAAGAAGAUCAAGUAAAAGCCGCUAACUUUUUUCUUUAAUGGUUAAAUUCCAUUUUUACUUCU